Long non-coding RNA from Salvelinus sp. IW2-2015, 859 nucleotides. RefSeq lists it as uncharacterized. The transcript has 2 exons. Lineage: Eukaryota; Metazoa; Chordata; Actinopteri; Salmoniformes; Salmonidae. The record is from RefSeq and is a predicted model, not a curated record.
CAUAUGAGCCCAACCACUGCUGUCCUGUCUGCUACACUGGGCCCAAUUGUUUUGUGGGCGACAGAGUGAUCUCGGCAGGGGAGCGGGUAGAGAUAGACAAGCAAACUGUGUGUUACUGCACCUACCGGGACGGCACCUGGCAGAUGCACCCCCAUGCCACCUGCGAGCAGCGCCCGCUGCCGGACCCCGAUCUCAACCCCAGCCCCUCUGAGCCCCCCGAGGAAGACGAGACCAAGCAGAUGGACAGGGACUUCCGCCCCAGGCUGGACUGGAUCCCAUGAGCAGGCAGGAGGGUGGGUGUGAGAGGGUAAUAGUGCGCCAAGGGGAAACGGGGAGAUGAUGGGGCAGGUUGAUUUCCGUGCCCUGCUGAGUGCAGUCUGCAUAGGGCUUAGGGCCAGGGAUGACCUACUACACCACAUUAUACAACCACGAUAACAUUACUAGCUAGUAGUGUUUGUGCAACAUUAUGUAAAACUUUGCACACAGGGACAAUAUAUGGUGCACAUUCAAGACAAUACACAACUAUAACAUAUAGUUUGUUGAAAUUAAUUUGUCUUAAUUUUCCUUCACUUGCAGUAGUCUGGUUUUGUCGUCAAAGGGCUGGUGUAAGUGGACACUUAAUAGAUGGUUGCAACAUUCACCCUUUUAUUAAUCUCAGGUUUACACUAGUGCACAUUAACAUUGCUCUGUAUAUUUCUCUUUGACUACUGUUGUUUCUUUAAUAACUUAAAGAUAUCCAUCUUAGAAUUGUUCUAAUGCUGAAAUGGAAAUGUUCCUUUUUCUGUAUGUAAAUUGACUUGUGGUUCUAUGAAGUGUAGCUUUAAUGGGCAUAUUUUUCAAAUAAACGUCAGGAACCGUA